GCAACUGCAUUGUUGUGAAAAUUGUGAAUGUUUAAUUUAGUCUUUUUACAUGAUUAUAGGUUUCCUUGAAGUUUCUUGACUGGUGACAUUGUUAUCUAGAUAUGGUCACAUGAAGGCUGAAUUUGAGUUAUUAUAAAGAAGAUAUAUUGGCUCUGAUAGUGAUAAACGGCUAAUACUCAUUUUGUCUACACCUCUUCUUGCCAGAUCUAAAUAGACCUCGCUUUUAUUAUUGUUCCAAUUACAUUGGACAGCUGAUAGAUUUGAAUCUUGACGAGUAGGAAAGUUGGCCAUGGCAACGUGCUAUGCCUUAAUCUGUAUGUAAUCUCCUUAAUGUGUCAAUGGUGAACAUGGAAGAAAGUCUGUUAGCUAUGUCCAAAUAAGGUUCCUCGAAGAUCUGUUUUCAUCAAUCUGAGCUGUAUCCCUUUCAAUUUGAUUUGAACUAUCAAAUUUGGAUAUCAAUUCUCUUCAGCUCAUAGGGGCAGACAAGAUGUGCUUAUCCUUAAUCUUUGGAGAAGCGAAGAAAAAAAAUAUGAUGAUGGUAUUAAAGAAUGCACAAAAGCAUUGGAGCUAAACCUUAACUACAUAAGUGUUUUGCUAAGAAGAGCAGAGGUGUAUGAAAAGUUGUAACAAUUUGAAGAGACUAUAGCAGAUAUGACAAAGGUUUUGGAAGUUGACCCAUCAUAUGAUCAAGCUAGAAGACAGAUUGUUCGCUUGAAGCCAUUAGCAGAUGAAAAACGUCAAAAGAUGAAGGAAGAAAUGAUUGUUGACCAUUGGUGGUAUGAACUUCUUUGGGUAGUUGCUGUUAAAUGAUUCUUUUUUGCUCUUCACGUGUAAAUAUAGGAAUGCUUCAUUUUUGCAAAAGAAAAUGUGUUCUAGGGGAGAAGAGUGGAGGAGGAGGAGAGGAUCUGGAAUUUUUGCAAAAGUAAAAGGAGCUAGUGUGAGCUGAGGUGGCUAGUGCAUUCGGAAGAUUCUGGAGGAAGGGGAAGGUUAAUGUGAGCAGAUAAAGCUUUGCUUCAGGUGCUGCUAAAGAAUAGAUGCUUGUGGAAGUGGACAAACGAUUACUGAGAUUAGCACAAGGAUGGUUUAAGGGAAAUGUAAGCUGAGGGAAAUUGGAAAUUGCAAUUCUGGUCAAUUUGGAAUGAGCGCUGACAAUUUCAAAGCUGUGAAAGAUCCAAACACUGGUUCAUAUUCUAUUCCAUUUCAGUGCUAAUAUCUUUUACAAACUUCACAUAUAUUCUUUAGUUUCUGGAGCUAUGGAUCAAAUGGACUGAAAUCUUAAAGAGGAUGAAGCACGUUUCCUCACAGUG
Coffea eugenioides is the source of this 1307-nucleotide long non-coding RNA. RefSeq lists it as uncharacterized. The transcript has 4 exons. Lineage: Eukaryota; Viridiplantae; Streptophyta; Magnoliopsida; Gentianales; Rubiaceae. The record is from RefSeq and is a predicted model, not a curated record.